Molecule: unclassified non-coding RNA, 533 nt
Filed under: Aspergillus tamarii
Lineage: Eukaryota; Fungi; Ascomycota; Eurotiomycetes; Eurotiales; Aspergillaceae
Description: sequence contains ITS1, 5.8S rRNA gene
Source: RNAcentral
CGAGGUCACCUGGAAGAAUGGUUGUUUUGCGUUCGGCAAGCGCCGGCCGGGCCUACAGAGCGGGUGACAAAGCCCCAUACGCUCGAGGAUCGGACGCGGUGCCGCCGCUGCCUUUGGGGCCCGUCCCCCCCGAAGAGGGGACGACGACCCAACACACAAGCCGUGCUUGAUGGGCAGCAAUGACGCUCGGACAGGCAUGCCCCCCGGAAUACCAGGGGGCGCAAUGUGCGUUCAAAGACUCGAUGAUUCACGGAAUUCUGCAAUUCACACUAGUUAUCGCAUUUCGCUGCGUUCUUCAUCGAUGCCGGAACCAAGAGAUCCAUUGUUGAAAGUUUUAACUGAUUGCGAUACAAUCAACUCAGACUUCACUAGAUCAGACAGAGUUCGUGGUGUCUCCGGCGGGCGCGGGCCCGGGGGCUGAUGCCCCCCGGCGGCCUUAAAGGCGGGCCCGCCGAAGCAACUAAGGUUACAGUAAACACGGGUGGGAGGUUGGGCUCGCUAGGAACCCUACACUCGGUAAUGAUCCUUCCGCA